RNAcentral lists this long non-coding RNA (248 nucleotides) under Mytilus galloprovincialis (Mediterranean mussel). Lineage: Eukaryota; Metazoa; Mollusca; Bivalvia; Mytilida; Mytilidae. The record is from RNAcentral.
CUUGCUGCUCCGAGAUCCCCAACAGAUUCGCCUGAUUUAUUGCAAUCAGUUACCGUGUGCUACCGCGGGGAGGCUACUGCUGAAGUCUUGAUAAUGUAGAGGCUAUGUACUGGCAGGAAAGACUUACUCACUCGGCUUUCUUUUCGCAAAAAAAUAUUGCUAGCCAGCGGCAUAAGACAUCCAAAGGACAGUCCCAUACACUAGACGCAUAACAUUACCCUGUGAUGCACUACCAUCACCAACACACU